CCGCAAUUAAUGUCCUCGACCCGGAUGUCUUCGGCGCUCGUCGCGUCGCGUGACGGGGCCCGGCGCGAGCGUCCCGGGGCGGGGAGGUGAACGCGAGCCAUCCGAUUCGAGCGACGUUUGAAUCGCGUUGCUAAUUUGCAGCCCUCGAACGGCGGUUCGGAGCAGGAUGAGGAGGUUGAGGGAUAAUGGCGGCUUCUCGGGAGGGUUUUAUUGAAAGUGAUGAAUGCUUAGAAGAGAGGGCCGCUCCGCGUGAAUUCAUGAAUUUGAAAGAGAUUAUUUAAUCAGAGAUCAGUUUGAAAGUGCUACAGCCCAACAUUGAUGCAAAAAAUACUGAGCACGAGCAAACAAAAAAGGAAAAAAAAGGGGAAAAAAGAAAAUGACAUCGCUUUAACAGCCUAAAAAGGCCUUUUUGCUGCUGGAACAAAUUAGCUCUCCAAAUCUGAUAAUGCUGCCAUCCAGACCGGUUUCAUCAGCAUUAUCGGGGCAAGGAGGACACUACAUACGCAGUGGAGUGGAGACACUGUGCAGGCGCUGCGUGGCCUAAUCCACCCGCUGUCUGUGCGGCGGCUGCGUGGAACCGCGGAUGAGUGGGAGGAUGAAAAAACAGCCCCCGAUGUGGACACAAAGAACGCGGGAAAAAUCUGGGACAUAAAAAAAAAAAAAAAAAAAAACGGCAGGCGCGUAUUUUGCGCGAGUCAAAUGGAAUAGCGAAUGAGGAGCCGCAGCCGCCGUCCUGCAGGGGCGGGGCGCCUGUUUCUGUACGCAGCGCAUCCCGCCUGUGCCAGCGCUCAUUUACUGAUCUCAUUUAUGUCCCCGCUCGGAGGAGGAGAGAGACAGCAGCCGUGAAACAGCCUCCCCCACCGCCCCCCCCCCCCCCUCCCUUCAUCAUCCGUGUGCCUGCUCCACUGCCCCCCCCCCCCCUCCCUCUUCUCUCAUCUCCGCCUCUCUGUAGUUCAGUAAUUGGGCUCAGCUCAUUGUUAUUCAAAACCCUGUAGAACCAAUUAGCUGCAGACCUCCUGACCCUGGGUUGCUAUAUAAUGGUGCAAGCUAAAGACUCUAAGUGAGGAAGCCAAGAGCAAAGGUUUUAAAUUCCUUUAGUUCCUGAUUAAUAAUCCUGUCAGGGCGAUCAGAGACAUUAAAGAGAGACUCUGGUUCGGCUCCUGCUUUUAUGGCUUCUCCCUCAUUUCUAGGCUGUCCAUUAAAGCUUAAUGAUGCCGGGGGUCGCUCUCGCUCUCCUCUGUCUUGUCAGAUAAAUGUACAGUUAACAGGAUAAUGAGGAAUCCUCAUCCUCCAGCAAUCUGGGACAAAGCAGCCCCGUGACCCCGCCGGGACGAAGCGGGCCGGCGAGGGGCCCGGGUGGACGGCGGCGGCGGGUGGACGGAGACGCCCGGCGGCCCCGGAGGACAGACAUGAAAGAGGAAGGCUGCACGGAGGCAGAGAUGAGAGGGAUGCAGAUAACUCCUCAUGCAACAUUGAUGAGGAGGCUGAAGUAAGCCCCCCCCCCCACUCCUCCCACCUCCUCCCCCAUCUCCCUGGUGUGAAGUGGUGCAGACACACGCUCCAACCACAGACUGGGCCGAGCGAGGAGGAUCCUGAGGCGUGUGGGAAAGUCCCAGGCACCACUUCAGUCGACCGGCAGCCAACUGUUUCCCGUCCCUCCUCGGGCCUCGGGGUUGGACCGCGCUGUCAAGACCGCAUCCGUGACAUCCUGCAUGCUGCAGUAUGAAUGGAUCCCCGCUCCGGGUGGCGUCUCCACAGCGCUGCUGGGACCCCCCGUGGACACGCUCCUCCGCCGGAGCAGCGAACGCCUUAUGAGCAGCGCGGAGGUGGAUCAAAACACGCGAGCUCGCUCCGACGGCUCCGCUGUUGUGUUCCAACACAACGGUAUCAGUGCAACCCGCUCUCCUCCUCUCCUCCUGCAGACUGGCAGGAGGUCAGCGUCAGGCCGAUCCCCGGCCGCCCCACAAGGAGCUGCUGUCAACAAGCAACGCGCAUAGUCGCAACACCGGGGGCAACACAGUGGCACGCUGAGGUCGGGGGAAAUCACUCAAGCCAGCGCUGACCCCGCAGCCCGGCUGGAGGAGACGGGGGCGUCACGGUUGGGGCCUCCUAACGAGAUGCUGCGGCUCCUGGUCCGUUGUCACGCGUGGAGCUUCCUCUGUUCAUUAACACCAACUGGUCUGAAUGAAUUCACAGGGAGCUAAAAAAUAAAGCUUUCGCUCGAAAGUCA
Molecule: long non-coding RNA, 2230 nt
Organism: Betta splendens (Siamese fighting fish)
Lineage: Eukaryota; Metazoa; Chordata; Actinopteri; Anabantiformes; Osphronemidae
Exons: 3
Source: RefSeq, a predicted model, not a curated record